ACCUGGAUAGCUCAGUUGGUUGGAGCAUGGUGCUGAUAAUGCCAAGGUUGUAGGUUCAAUCCCCAUAUGGGACA
Molecule: non-coding RNA, 74 nt
Organism: Podarcis lilfordi (Lilford's wall lizard)
Lineage: Eukaryota; Metazoa; Chordata; Lepidosauria; Squamata; Lacertidae
Source: the annotation of a GenBank genome assembly